GAUGAACGCUGGCGGCGUGCUUAACACAUGCAAGUCGAACGAAGCAUUUGCGACAGAUUUUUUCGGAAUGAAGUUGCUUAUGACUGAGUGGCGGACGGGUGAGUAACGCGUGGGUAACCUGCCUUGUACCGGGGGAUAGCAGCUGGAAACGGCUGGUAAUACCGCAUAAGCGCACAAUGUUGCAUGACAUGGUGUGAAAAACUCCGGUGGUAUAAGAUGUACCCGCGUCUGAUUAGCUAGUUGGUGAGAUAACAGCCUACCAAGGCGACGAUUAGUAGCCGACCUGAGAGGCUGCCCGGCUACAUUGGGACUGAGGCACGGCCCAGACUCCGACGGGAGGAAGCAGUAGGGAAUAAUGAAGAAUGGAGGAAACUCUGAUGCAGCGACGCCGCGUGAGUGAAGAAGUAAGUCGUUAUGUAAAGCUCUAUCAGCAGGGAAGAUAGUGACGGUACCUGACUAAGAAGCUCCGGCUAAAUACGUG
Molecule: ribosomal RNA, 481 nt
Filed under: uncultured bacterium
Lineage: Bacteria
Description: partial 16S ribosomal RNA
Rfam family: Bacterial small subunit ribosomal RNA
Source: RNAcentral